GAAAGAGUAAAUAUUAUUGGUUUAGUAGUUAAUUUGAGGUGUUAUUAUUAAAGUGUUAAUUUUUAGGUGAAAUUUUAAUUUUCUAAUAUUUAUAUUUAUUUGAAGCUACGAAAUUUAUAUUAAAAACAAGGAUUAGAUACCCUUUUAUUAUAAAUGUGAAUAUUUAAACCAGGGUAGUAAUAGUUAUGUUCUUGAAACCCAAAGAAUUUGGCGGUAUUUUAGUCCUUUCAGAGGAACCUGUCCCGUAAUUGACAAUCCACGAUAUUAUAUACUUAUUUUUGUUUUCAGUUUGUAUACCUCCGUCAUAAGAGAAUCUUUUUAGAGUUUGAAUUUUCUUAAUAUAAUAAAUAUAUUAUGUCAGGUCAAGGUGCAAUUUAUAAAUAAGUGGAGAUGGGUUACAAUAAAAUUAUUUAAACGGAUUAAAUUAAUUACAAUUUUUUAUGAAGGUGGAUUUGAUAGUAAUUUUAAUUAUUAAUUAUUAUGAUUUUGGCUCUAAAAUAUGCACACANNNNNNNNNNNNNNNCUUAUUAAAAUGAGAUAAGUCGUAACAUAGUAGGUGUAUCGGAAGAUGUACCUAGUAAGU
RNAcentral lists this ribosomal RNA (583 nucleotides) under Austrogomphus cf. guerini BM-2008. RNAcentral describes it as "partial 12S ribosomal RNA". Lineage: Eukaryota; Metazoa; Arthropoda; Insecta; Odonata; Gomphidae. The record is from RNAcentral.